CGACAAAAAGUAUAAUUGUAUUUAUAGUUUCGGCCUAUAAGGGGGGCUUCAAACGGUCCUUUGUCGU
Molecule: transfer RNA, 67 nt
Filed under: Scrobicularia plana
Lineage: Eukaryota; Metazoa; Mollusca; Bivalvia; Cardiida; Scrobiculariidae
Description: tRNA-Arg
Source: RNAcentral